Molecule: long non-coding RNA, 1874 nt
Filed under: Volvox carteri
Lineage: Eukaryota; Viridiplantae; Chlorophyta; Chlorophyceae; Chlamydomonadales; Volvocaceae
Description: long non-coding RNA (VCAR_LNC003632)
Source: RNAcentral
GGGGUUCCAAUUGCGUGCGCGUAUGGAUGCUCCUUUCCCCGCCGCCUUUCUAGCAACUAGUUGAUGUUAUGAUGCAUCGUUGGUCCGGCGUACGAUGGCGCCUGGUGCGAUGUAUGCGUCCGGAAGCCCUUUCAGCCUCCAGGCAUGUCCCCACCUGCCUCACAGCCACCGACGCAUCUCACGGCGGGGUUCCAAUUGCGUGCACGUAUGGAUGCUCCUUUCCCCGCCGCCUUUCUAGCAACUAGUUGAUGUUAUGAUGCAUCGUUGGUCCGGUGUACGACGGCGCCUGGUGCGAUUUAUGCGUCCGGAAGCCCUUUCAGCCUCCAGGCAUGUCCCCACCUGCCUCACAGCCACCGACGCAUCUCACGGCGGGGUUCCAAUUGCGUGCGCGUAUGGAUGCUCCUUUCGCCGCCUUUCCAGCAACUAGUUGAUGUUAUGAUGCAUCGUUGGUCCGGCGUACGACGGCGCCUGAUGCGAUUUAUGCGUCCGGAAGCCCUUUCAGCCUCCAGGCAUGUCCCCACCUGCCUCACAGCCACCGACGCAUCUCACGGCGGGGGUCUAAUUGUGUGCGCGUAUGGAUGCUCCUUUCGCCGCCGCUUUCUAGCAACUAGUUGAUGUUAUGAUGCAUCGUUGGUCCGGCGUACGACGGCGCCUGAUGCGAUUUAUGCGUCCGGAAGCCCUUUCAGCCUCCAGGCACGUCCCCACCUGCCUCACAGCUACCGACGCAUCUCACGGCGGGGGUCUAAUUGUGUGCGCGUAUGGAUGCUCCUUUCGCCGCCGCUUUCUAGCAACUAGUUGAUGUUAUGAUGCAUCGUUGGUCCGGCGUACGACGGCGCCUGAUGCGAUUUAUGCGUCCGGAAGCCCUUUCAGCCUCCAGGCAUGUCCACACCUGCCUCACAGCCACCGACGCAUCUCACGGCGGGGGUCUAAUUGCGUGCGCGUAUGGAUGCUCCUUUCCCCGCCGCAUUUCUAGCAACUAGUUGAUGUUAUGAUGCAUCGUUGGUCCGGUGUACGAUGGCGCCUGAUGCGAUUUAUGCGUCCGGAAGCCCUUUCAGCCUCCAGGCAUGUCCCCACCUGCCUCACAGCCACCGACGCAUCUCACGGCGGGGGUCUAAUUGCGUGCGCGUAUGGAUGCUCCUUUCGCCGCCUUUCUAGCAACUAGUUGAUGUUCUGAUGCAUCGUUGGUCCGGCGUACGACGGCGCCUGAUGCGAUUUAUGCGUCCGGAAGCCCUUUCAGCCUCCAGGCAUGUCCCUACCUGCCUCACAGCCACCGACGCAUCUCACGGCGGGGUUCCAAUUGUGUGCGCGUAUGGAUGCUCCUUUCCCCGCCGCCUUUCUAGCAACUAGUUGAUGUUAUGAUGCAUCGUUGGUCCGGUGUACGACGGCGCCUGAUGCGAUUUAUGCGUCCGGAAGCCCUUUCAGCCUCCAGGCACGUCCCCACCUGCCUCACAGCCACCGAGGCAUCUCACGGCGAGGGUCUAAUUGCGUGCGCGUAUGGAUGCUCCUUUCGCCGCCUUUCCAGCAACUAGUUGAUGUUAUGAUGCAUCGUUGGUCCGGCGUACGACGGCGCCUGAUGCGAUUUAUGCGUCCGGAAGCCCUUUCAGCCUCCAGGCAUGUCCCCACCUGCCUCACAGCCACCGACGCAUCUCACGGCGGGGUUCCAAUUGCGUGCGCGUAUGGAUGCUCCUUUCGCCGCCUUUCCAGCAACUAGUUGAUGUUAUGAUGCAUCGUUGGUCCGGUGUACGACGGCGCCUGAUGCGAUUUAUGCGUCUGAAAGCCCUUUCAGCCUCCAGGCAUGUCCCCACCUGCCUCACAGCCACCGACGCAUCUCACGGCGGGGUUCCAAUUGCGUGCGCGUAUGGAUGCUCCUUUCC